AACGAACGCUGGCGGCAGGCCUAACACAUGCAAGUCGAGCGGACCUUUCGGGGUCAGCGGCGGACGGGUGAGUAACGCGUGGGAAUAUGCCCUUCUCUACGGAAUAGUCCUGGGAAACUGGGGGUAAUACCGUAUACGCCCUUUGGGGGAAAGAUUUAUCGGGGAAGGAUUAGCCCGCGUUGGAUUAGGUAGUUGGUGGGGUAAUGGCCUACCAAGCCGACGAUCCAUAGCUGGUUUGAGGGAUGAUCAGCCACACUGGGACUGAGACACGGCCCAGACUCCUACGGGAGGCAGCAGUGGGGAAUCUUAGACAAUGGGGGCAACCCUGAUCUAGCCAUGCCGCGUGAGUGAUGAAGGCCUUAGGGUUGUAAAGCUCUUUCAGCUGGGAAGAUAAUGACGGUACCAGCAGAAGAAGCCCCGGCUAACUCCGUG
Molecule: ribosomal RNA, 432 nt
Filed under: uncultured bacterium
Lineage: Bacteria
Description: partial 16S ribosomal RNA
Rfam family: Bacterial small subunit ribosomal RNA
Source: RNAcentral